This 452-nucleotide ribosomal RNA is filed under the name uncultured bacterium. Its description in RNAcentral is "bacterial SSU rRNA". It matches the Rfam family "Bacterial small subunit ribosomal RNA", at positions 340 to 786 of the family's 1533-position model. The record is from RNAcentral.
UACGGAAGGCAGCAGUGGGGAAUAUUGCACAAUGGGCGCAAGCCUGAUGCAGCCAUGCCGCGUGUAUGAAGAAGGCCUUCGGGUUGUAAAGUACUUUCAGUCGUGAGGAAGGUGUUAAGGUUAAUAACCUUAGCAAUUGACGUUAGCGACAGAAGAAGCACCGGCUAACUCCGUGCCGGCAGCCGCGGUAAUACGGAGGGUGCGAGCGUUAAUCGGAAUUACUGGGCGUAAAGGGCACGCAGGCGGUUAAUUAAGUUGGAUGUGAAAUCCCCGGGCUUAACCUGGGAAUGGCAUUCAAGCUGGUUAGCUAGAGUCUUGUAGAGGGGGUAGAAUUCCAUGUGUAGCGGUGAAAUGCGUAGAGAUGUGGAGGAAUACCGGUGGCGAAGGCGGCCCCUGGACAAAGACUGACGCUCAUGUGCGAAAGCGUGGGGAGCAAACAGGGAUUAGAUACC